Long non-coding RNA from Aphidius gifuensis, 597 nucleotides. RefSeq lists it as uncharacterized. Lineage: Eukaryota; Metazoa; Arthropoda; Insecta; Hymenoptera; Braconidae. The transcript has 2 exons. The record is from RefSeq and is a predicted model, not a curated record.
AAUAACAUUUUGUUUAUGUUGUUGUUGUUUUUAAUAUUGUUCAAUUUAAAAUUGGCGCCUCUCUUGCGAAUCAAAUAUGGCUUCCGUUGACACAUCAGCGCCUCUCUCUCUCUGGCAUAAUCAGCUGUAAUCAGCUGUUUUGGAGCAAUUGAAAAAAAUUAAAGUUUUGGAUUUUGACUUUUAAUUUUUUUUGAUCCAGAUUUGUCUGGAUAAUCAAAAAAAGUGAACAACAGUUUGAUAAUAAUUAAUUAGAGCUUAUAAUUGUUUGUUGAAUAUGGGUGUUGAUCAUUCAUUGUUUGUAACUGCUGCAUUUGUCAUGCACUGUUACUGGAUGUACAAAACUGACUACAGAAAUGGUGCCAAUGAUCUAAAUGGACCUUUUCCUCGAGGUGGUCCACACAAAAAACCAAGGGAACUGGUGGAAGCGAGCAAAAAAAAGAGAUUAUCUCAGUAGUGUGAAAUAAAUAAUCACCAUUGUGGUGACUCAAUUUAUCAAUAAUAUUAUUAUUCUUACAAUAAGUAUGUAAAUUUUUCAUCACAAUGAUUGUGCUUUAAAUUGAGUCUAAUAAAUAUCAGUCUAAUAAAUAUAAAAAUAUA